AACCCCAAAACACCCCUUUUUUAAAAAAAAAAAAAUUACAAGGUUUCCGUAGGUGAACCUGCGGAAGGAUCAUUA
This 75-nucleotide ribosomal RNA is filed under the name Mucor janssenii. RNAcentral describes it as "partial 18S ribosomal RNA". Lineage: Eukaryota; Fungi; Mucoromycota; Mucoromycetes; Mucorales; Mucoraceae. The record is from RNAcentral.